AUGUUGCUCUAUUCACCUGCAAUCUGUUUGGGGCGAUCUGCCUCAAGUAGUAUGUACGCUCAUUCGAAUCAGUUUCAAGGAGGAGCCGCACAGAGUAUGGUCUUAUGGAACUGCUCCCGACCGCAGUCAAGCCGUUCUCAUAUGACAUUGGGCGUAGCCGAUUCUUCUCAUAAUAAGAAUAUAAGAACUUCUGAAGCGCAGAGUCUGAAGUACUUUGUCAGCUUAGUGGGCCGACGAUUGCGUCGCGGAUUGUCAACCAGAGAGGGCAGUCUAAGUGUAAAGCUCGACAUGCUUUCACGCGACAGAAUGUCGGGUACUAAUUGGAAAUGGAGAGGCGUCCAUCAAAAGAUAGGAGCUACGGCCGGUGGGCUCUGCUUUGGUUUUUCAGUUUCAGGGAUCGCAAAAGCCGAGAUGCCUGUGGACAGAAAGAUCAACUGUGCAGAAACUUCAGCAUCAUCUUCCCAUGGGAAGAAAGUCUACACGAAUUAUUCUGUCACCGGGAUUCCAGGAGAUGGGAGGUGCUUAUUCCGCUCCGUGGUUCAUGGGGCAUGCAUCCGCUCAGGGAAACCUAUCCCUAAUGAAGAUCUUCAGAGAAAGCUAGCUGAUGAAUUGAGGUCAAUGGUUGCUGAUGAAUUUGUCACUAGACGAGAAGAGACUGAAUGGUUUGUUGAGGGCGAUUUUGAUACAUACGUUUCCCAGAUUAGGCAGCCACAUGUGUGGGGUGGUGAGCCAGAACUGUUCAUGGCUUCACAUGUUCUCCAGAUGCCAAUAACUGUGUAUAUGCAUGACGAAGAUGUGGGUGGCUUAAUAACUAUUGCUGAAUAUGGCCAAGAGUACGGUAAAGAAGAUCCAAUACAAGUUCUGUAUCAUGGUUUUGGCCAUUAUGAUUCCCUACAGAUUCAGAAGACAUAG
RNAcentral lists this ribosomal RNA (912 nucleotides) under Triticum aestivum (bread wheat). Its description in RNAcentral is "partial small subunit ribosomal RNA". The record is from RNAcentral. Lineage: Eukaryota; Viridiplantae; Streptophyta; Magnoliopsida; Poales; Poaceae.